UUUUUGAGGCGAAUUUCUGACUUCAAAUGCAAACAGCUCCUACAAAAGGUGUUGUAAUAAUUUUUUUAAAGAACAUAUUCUGAAUCGAGGAAGGAUAGACUACAAUCCACGGCUUUUGUUUUGUUUAGUUUUUUCGAAAAUUUGAUAAAAGAAAUAGAAAAAAAGUAUAAAAAAUAGAAAAUUCAAUAGCUCCUACAAAACAGGUGCCAUGCCUACGAAAACUCCAUAUUCUGAAUCGGGGGAGGGUGUACUAAAAUCCACAGCGUUUUAGUAUUUCAAGAUUUUUCAUUUCAAAAUGUACUAAAACGAUGAAUAUUCAAUAGCUCCUAAAGAAAGCUCCUGCAAAAUAGGUGCCAGUUUGUAUCGUCUUAAAGCAAGUCAUCAAAUACCAAAAAGUCUGUUUGGCGGUGCCGGCGUGGGCAAGACCGUGUUGAUCAUGGAGUUGAUUAACAACGUGGCCAAAGCCCACAGUGGUUACUUGG
This is a long non-coding RNA of Esox lucius (northern pike), 482 nucleotides long. RefSeq lists it as uncharacterized. The record is from RefSeq and is a predicted model, not a curated record. The transcript is spliced from 3 exons. NCBI's taxonomy places the organism in Eukaryota, Metazoa, Chordata, Actinopteri, Esociformes, Esocidae.